CCGAGAUCUUGGCGGAGAUAGCGCCGUUUCUCCGCAGCCAGCUGUUUAAUCGGCAGCGCCAUCUCCCUUCCCGGAGACCCGCGUGCGCGCGCCCGCAGCGCACCGCCCCGGCCCUCCGGCCCCGCCUUCCCCGCGGCUGGGAAGAAAGGCGCAGGACUUUCCCACGCUCCCGGGUUCACGGUAAUCAGGCCGCCGCGGCCCCGCCCCACGCCGGCAGGCCCCGCCCCCGCCUCGGAGGGGGCCCGUUUCGCCGAGGCGGAGGGAGGGACGGGGGUUCGCCCCGGCCCCCGCCUCACGGGCCCCCUCGGAAGGCCGCAGCUCCGGGGGAGAGGCUCCCCCCCCCGGGGCACAAAGCGACAGCCCCGGUCUCUGCGCGCCCAGGGAUGCCCUGGAUCUUUGUGCCCUGUGAACAGAGGACGUGCAGGUGGGAAGCAAACCUGACAGUCUAACUAGGUUGUUUCUUUGGGGUGGAGAAAACAGGUGAGUUACCAGGUCUCUUUCGAACAAGGGUGGUUUAUUUGUUGUUUCAUGAGCCCCCUGUAGUUUAUUGUAGUUGUGAGGGUGGGUGUCCCAACAGGGAGCCCUCCAGAGAGGAGGGGCAUCUGGGAGAGCUGCGUGGUCUUGAGAGCUACAUGGUCAAGGAGGGCAGGUGCUUCAGCAGAAUCCCAAGAUUUCUUUUCACCCUUUUUAAAACAGUUAACAGAAGCAGCAGAAAUCCAGCCAGGCAAGCAUUUCUGAGCAGAAAGUCAAGGGAAGGCAGCCAUCCCUGUUGAAUUUCUGCCUCACAAGCUUGUUUUAAAAGUGCAGGAGCCGUUUUGAAGGGGUGGGGAAGGGAUGCCAUGUCAUCAAACGCUUCUUGGCUUCUCUUAAUGGGAGUUGGGGGCUGAUGUGCGGCCAAGGAGGGGGAAGAACGGGGAAAUCGGGGCUGGGGAGCUCCGGAAGGAAGACGUUGUGCAGCUCCUGAGCCAAAAGGCCAGCCGCUUUCUCUGUCCCACCCCGCCGGUGCGGAAGGCUGAGUCUGCCCAGGUGGGGAGCAGCAAUUCGCCCUUCUCUCCUCUCGAUCCGGGCGAUGUCGGCUACAGGAGGAGCAGCCCUCACAGGCAAAGACGGGCAGGGCAAUCCCUCAGUGCUCUCCCGGGGCACGGGAGUCCCGAUCGCACGGCUGCCGCAAUGCAAGAAGGGGCUGCGCUCGGGCGACCCCGGGAAGCUGCAGCCACCGCUGCAGUCCCCCCCCCCAGCCCCC
Molecule: long non-coding RNA, 1243 nt
Filed under: Naja naja (Indian cobra)
Lineage: Eukaryota; Metazoa; Chordata; Lepidosauria; Squamata; Elapidae
Description: lncRNA (ENSNNAG00000009292.1)
Source: RNAcentral